Molecule: non-coding RNA, 374 nt
Organism: Pelobates cultripes (western spadefoot toad)
Lineage: Eukaryota; Metazoa; Chordata; Amphibia; Anura; Pelobatidae
Source: the annotation of a GenBank genome assembly
UGGACAUCUGCCAUGACUCGGGUCUUAAAACAGUUUGACAAUUACUCUGGGAGGGAGCCAGGGCACUCCUAGCAUCAUAAUUACAGUGAGUGUAAGUUUGUGCUCGAAGGGAAUUGAUAAACUACUGCCAAAUUUUGAAUGUUUAUGCUUGUCAGUGUGGUUGCAAACUUCCAAUCAAUGUAAAAAGCUUGAUAAAGUUUGUAUUUAGAUUUGUAGAUUCAGCCUGGAUCCAGUCGGGGACAUAAAUGGAGAUGUUGAUCUGCCAUCUCCCAGUGGCAUUUUAGUCAACUGGAUGAAUCCUUCAUUUUUAGAUUUGAAUUUUUUUUGUCUGAGACAAUGAAGAUCUUUAUUUACAUUUCCUGGUUUGAAGGUAA